GACGAACGCUGGCGGCGUGCUUAACACAUGCAAGUCGAACGGGAAGGCCCUGUUUUUGUGGGGUGCUCGAGGUGCGAACGGGUGAGUAACCCGUGAGUACCCUGUCCCUGACUUUGGGAUGUCUUCAGGACACUGGGGCUAAUACGGGCAAGGAGUUCCUGCUGCAUGGUGGGGGCUGGAUAGUUUCGGUGGUUGGUGAGGGACUCGCGGCUCAUCAGCUUGUUGGUUGGGUAGUGGCUUAGCAAGGCCAUGAAAGGUGGCCGGCCUGAGCGGAUGACCGGACACACUACGACUGGAAUGCGACCCAGACUCCUCCGGGAGGCAGCAGUGGGGAAUAUUGCACAGUGGGCGGAGGCCAGAUGCAGUAAAGCCGCGUGCGGGAUGUCGGGCUUCGGGUUGUAUUCUACUUUCGCCUGUGCCGAAGUGAGAAUGACGGUAAUGGGUGAAUAAGCACCGGCUAACUACGUG
RNAcentral lists this ribosomal RNA (468 nucleotides) under uncultured bacterium. RNAcentral describes it as "partial 16S ribosomal RNA". It matches the Rfam family "Bacterial small subunit ribosomal RNA", at positions 28 to 507 of the family's 1533-position model. The record is from RNAcentral.